GCUGUGACGUAUCUGAAGAGGAAGGAGGAAAAGGGGAGUGGAAAGAACCUUAGUGAGAUUCAAAUCAGGUUUCUCGAAAAUAGAACGAUCUCUUUAAAAAACACAAAAAUAUUUUUAAACCUUCCCAUGGUCGUUAAAUUAUGAUUCAUUUAAUUUUGAGCCAAAAUACUGUUAGGAUCAUGGUCUCCUCCCACUCCUACCGGGGAAUCAUCUCCUCACCUGUUACCAUUCUCCUCAUCAAUCUUCAGCCUAUUUAUGGAUCCCUCACCCUCCAGCCGGCGUUGGCCCGUCUGCUCUCAGCGGAAUUGCCUCCAGCGUCAUCCUCACCAUUGUUCUCAUCUGCCGUCCAGGAUCAGGACACAAAGCAAGGCUCCACAAAACUUUACCGUCGUUGCAAACCCCACCAGACCAGCCGUUCUUCAUUCCUUCAGACGUCCAAGCCACAAGCCGUCAAAGCCAGAACUCACCAAAAUAAAGACUUUUUCUCAUUUA
Long non-coding RNA from Oryzias latipes (Japanese medaka), 492 nucleotides. RefSeq lists it as uncharacterized. NCBI's taxonomy places the organism in Eukaryota, Metazoa, Chordata, Actinopteri, Beloniformes, Adrianichthyidae. The record is from RefSeq and is a predicted model, not a curated record.